UGGAGGGCAAGUCUGGUGCCAGCAGCCGCGGUAAUUCCAGCUCCAAUAGCGUAUAUUAAAGUUGUUGCAGUUAAAAAGCUCGUAGUUGAAUUUCGGGAUUAGUAGGUUGGUCGUGCCUCUGGUAUGUACUGGCCUUACUGAUUCCUCCUUCUUGAAGAACUGUAAUGCCAUUAAUUUGGUGUUGCGGGGAAACAGGACUGUUACUUUGAAAAAAUUA
This 217-nucleotide ribosomal RNA is filed under the name Glomeraceae sp. RNAcentral describes it as "partial small subunit ribosomal RNA". It matches the Rfam family "Eukaryotic small subunit ribosomal RNA", at positions 549 to 768 of the family's 1831-position model. The record is from RNAcentral. Lineage: Eukaryota; Fungi; Glomeromycota; Glomeromycetes; Glomerales; Glomeraceae.